GGUUCAGAUUGAACGCUGGCGGCAGGCCUAACACAUGCAAGUCGAGCGGUAGCACAGAGAGCUUGCUCUCGGGUGACGAGCGGCGGACGGGUGAGUAAUGUCUGGGAAACUGCCUGAUGGAGGGGGAUAACUACUGGAAACGGUAGCUAAUACCGCAUAACGUCGCAAGACCAAAGUGGGGGACCUUCGGGCCUCAUGCCAUCAGAUGUGCCCAGAUGGGAUUAGCUAGUAGGUGGGGUAACGGCUCACCUAGGCGACGAUCCCUAGCUGGUCUGAGAGGAUGACCAGCCACACUGGAACUGAGACACGGUCCAGACUCCUACGGGAGGCAGCAGUGGGGAAUAUUGCACAAUGGGCGCAAGCCUGAUGCAGCCAUGCCGCGUGUGUGAAGAAGGCCUUCGGGUUGUAAAGCACUUUCAGCGGGGAGGAAGGCGAUAAGGUUAAUAACCUUGUCGAUUGACGUUACCCGCAGAAGAAGCACCGGCUAACUCCGUGCCAGCAGCCGCGGUAAUACGGAGGGUGCAAGCGUUAAUCGGAAUUACUGGGCGUAAAGCGCACGCAGGCGGUCUGUCAAGUCGGAUGUGAAAUCCCCGGGCUCAACCUGGGAACUGCAUUCGAAACUGGCAGGCUAGAGUCUUGUAGAGGGGGGUAGAAUUCCAGGUGUAGCGGUGAAAUGCGUAGAGAUCUGGAGGAAUACCGGUGGCGAAGGCGGCCCCCUGGACAAAGACUGACGCUCAGGUGCGAAAGCGUGGGGAGCAAACAGGAUUAGAUACCCUGGUAGUCCACGCCGUAAACGAUGUCGAUUUGGAGGUUGUGCCCUUGAGGCGUGGCUUCCGGAGCUAACGCGUUAAAUCGACCGCCUGGGGAGUACGGCCGCAAGGUUAAAACUCAAAUGAAUUGACGGGGGCCCGCACAAGCGGUGGAGCAUGUGGUUUAAUUCGAUGCAACGCGAAGAACCUUACCUGGUCUUGACAUCCACAGAACUUAGCAGAGAUGCUUUGGUGCCUUCGGGAACUGUGAGACAGGUGCUGCAUGGCUGUCGUCAGCUCGUGUUGUGAAAUGUUGGGUUAAGUCCCGCAACGAGCGCAACCCUUAUCCUUUGUUGCCAGCGGUUCGGCCGGGAACUCAAAGGAGACUGCCAGUGAUAAACUGGAGGAAGGUGGGGAUGACGUCAAGUCAUCAUGGCCCUUACGACCAGGGCUACACACGUGCUACAAUGGCAUAUACAAAGAGAAGCGACCUCGCGAGAGCAAGCGGACCUCAUAAAGUAUGUCGUAGUCCGGAUUGGAGUCUGCAACUCGACUCCAUGAAGUCGGAAUCGCUAGUAAUCGUAGAUCAGAAUGCUACGGUGAAUACGUUCCCGGGCCUUGUACACACCGCCCGACACACCAUGGGAGUGGGUUGCAAAAGAAGUAGGUAGCUUAACCUUCGGGAGGGCGCUUACCACUUUGUGAUUC
Molecule: ribosomal RNA, 1457 nt
Filed under: uncultured organism
Description: SSU rRNA
Rfam family: Bacterial small subunit ribosomal RNA
Source: RNAcentral